This 557-nucleotide long non-coding RNA is filed under the name Oncorhynchus kisutch (coho salmon). RNAcentral's name for it is "lncRNA (ENSOKIG00005001276.1)". The record is from RNAcentral. Lineage: Eukaryota; Metazoa; Chordata; Actinopteri; Salmoniformes; Salmonidae.
CCCUAAUGAGGAGACAACAGUCUAUAUAGACCCUAAUGAGGAGACAACAACCCUAUAUAGACCCUAAUGAGGAGACAAUAGUCUAUAUAGACCCUAAUGAGGAGACAAUAGUCUAUAUAGACCCUAAUGAGGAGACAACAGUCUAUAUAGACCCUAAUGAGGAGACAACAGUCUAUAUAGACUGUUGUCUCCUCAUUCGGGCCUAUAUAGACUGUUGUCUCCUCAUUCGGGCCUAUAUAGACUGUUGUCUCCUCAUUCGGGCCUAUAUAGACUGCUGUCUCCUCAUUACGGUCUGUAUAGACUGUUGUCUCCUCACUAGGAUCUAUAUAGACUGUUGUCUCCUCACUAGGGUCUAUAUAGACUGUUGCCUCCUCAUUGGGGUUUAUGUAGACUGUUGUCUCCUCAUUAGGGUCUAUAUAGACUGUUGUCUCCUCAUUAGGGCCUGUAUAGACUGUUGCCUCCUCAUUAGGGUUUAUGUGGACUGUUGAGUUGUUGCUAUACUAGUCAGCUAAGUCCAUUGGAUAUCUAAACAUUUUGGUCUCUAAAUCCCUGCCUCA